UACGUAGGGUGCAAGCGUUAAUCGGAAUUACUGGGCGUAAAGCGUGCGCAGGCGGUGAUGUAAGACAGUUAUGAAAUCCCCGGGCUCAACCUGGGAACUGCAUCUGUGACUGCAUCGCUGGAGUGCGGCAGAGGGGGAUGGAAUUCCGCGUGUAGCAGUGAAAUGCGUAGAUAUCGGGAGGAACAUCAGUGGCGAAGGCGGCCUUCUGGUCCAGUACUGACACUCAAGUGCGAAAGCGUGGGGAGCAAACAGG
Molecule: ribosomal RNA, 253 nt
Filed under: uncultured bacterium
Lineage: Bacteria
Description: partial 16S ribosomal RNA
Rfam family: Bacterial small subunit ribosomal RNA
Source: RNAcentral